This 468-nucleotide ribosomal RNA is filed under the name uncultured bacterium. RNAcentral describes it as "partial 16S ribosomal RNA". It matches the Rfam family "Bacterial small subunit ribosomal RNA", at positions 28 to 507 of the family's 1533-position model. The record is from RNAcentral.
GACGAACGCUGGCGGCGUGCUUAACACAUGCAAGUCGAACGGAAAGGCCCUGCUUUUGUGGGGUGCUCGAGUGGCGAAAGGGUGAGUAACACGUGAGUAACCUGCCCUUGACUUUGGGAUAACUUCAGGAAACUGGGGCUAAUACCGGAUAGGAGCUCCUGCUGCAUGGGGGGGGUUGGAAAGUUUCGGCGGUUGGGGAUGGACUCGCGGCUUAUCAGCUUGUUGGUGGGGUAGUGGCUUACCAAGGCUUUGACGGGUAGCCGGCCUGAGAGGGUGACCGGCCACAUUGGGACUGAGAUACGGCCCAGACUCGUACGGGAGGCAGCAGGGGGGAAUAUUGCACAAUGGGCGGAAGCCUGAUGCAGCAACGCCGCGUGCGGGAUGACGGCCUUCGGGUUGUAAACCGCUUUCGCCUGUGACGAAGCGUGAGUGACGGUAAUGGGUAAAGAAGCACCGGCUAACUACGUG